This 408-nucleotide ribosomal RNA is filed under the name uncultured bacterium. Its description in RNAcentral is "partial 16S ribosomal RNA". It matches the Rfam family "Bacterial small subunit ribosomal RNA", at positions 28 to 526 of the family's 1533-position model. The record is from RNAcentral.
GACGAACGCUGGCGGCGUGCUUAACACAUGCAAGUCGAACGAAGUGGCGAACGGGUGAGUAACGCGUAAUCAACCUGCCCUUCAGAGGGGGACACCAGUUGGAAACGACUGCUAAUACCGCAUACUGAAGGAGGGGUUUGCGUCGGAUUAGCUAGUUGGAGGGGUAACGGCCCACCAAGGCGAAGAUCAGUAGGCGGGCUGGGAGGAUUGACCGCCACAUUGGGACUGGGACACGGCCCAGACUCCUACGGGAGGCAGCAGUGGGGAAUCUUCCGGAAUGGGGGAAAGUCUGACGGAGCAACGGCGCGGGGGUGAUGACGGGCUUCGGGUUGUAAAGCUCUGUUAAUCGGGACGCGGUACCGGAAUAGAAAGCCACGGCUAACUACGUGCCAGCAGCCGCGGUAAUAC